This 902-nucleotide long non-coding RNA is filed under the name Theobroma cacao (cacao). RNAcentral's name for it is "long non-coding RNA (TCAC_LNC002197)". The record is from RNAcentral. Lineage: Eukaryota; Viridiplantae; Streptophyta; Magnoliopsida; Malvales; Malvaceae.
CUGAUAUUUAAGCACGAAAAUAUAGUAUAACAAGGCACAUUCUGUUUAUAAGUUACAUCACAGAGGACAAACUACCACUCUUCAGGGGAAGAAGUCUUUCUUGAUUCCUAUCCCACCCUAUCCUCCAUUCAGAAAGUUACCUUUAUUCAUUAUUUAUUUAUUUAUUUAUUGCUCCCUGAUUCCUGCUGUUCUGAGAAGAAGAAGCAGUAGAAGAAAAAGUCUGCACAGUCCCCUAAACCCUUUAUAGACUUGAACAUUCUAAUGCACUACCUUGAUAUUGCCAUUAAGGAGAAGCAAAAUAAGGAAAGAAAUCCAAGGAAUUCCUUUGUUUAGCAGAUUUAGUAAAGGAAAGAAAGUGUAGCAUGCUCCCUGAUGCGGUUCACAGCAAACUCCAGUUACACUGACACUGCUUAUCAUCUAUAGCUAGACAGGCACCAUUUAAACUUACACUUCAAUUCCAUUACCUCCAUGUCAGAUGAUGAUGUAAUUAAUGAAAUGGAAAAAAUGAAAAACCUCCCAAAGAAUUAUCAAAUUAAAAAUUUCAAAGAAAGGAACAUGUCAAGUGUUAAGAUUCAAGAAUAUACAAUUUUCAAAACAAAAAAAAAGACAUUCAAGAAUAUACAAAUUAAGUCAUAAUUGAUGCUACAUUCUUAAGUCUUAUGAAAGAAAUCUUUCUACCAAUCCGUGAAUGAAAAGUAACCAUAAAAAAGAUUACCCUUGAGAAAUCUACAUCAGAACAUAAAUGGUGGAUAACUAGCUAUGAACAUGGAAUUGAUCCAAUACAAACAACAAGAACUAUCUCAUGUCCUAACAAUAAACACAAAAUUAUGAGAACAAGCAUCGGUUAUCAUCCAUGCAUACUUCAAAUCCAGAAACUGGCAAAAAGUAAGACAAAGACAAAC